This 498-nucleotide ribosomal RNA is filed under the name uncultured bacterium. RNAcentral describes it as "partial 16S ribosomal RNA". It matches the Rfam family "Bacterial small subunit ribosomal RNA", at positions 30 to 523 of the family's 1533-position model. The record is from RNAcentral.
AUUGAACGCUGGCGGAAUGCUUUACACAUGCAAGUCGGACGGGAUUUGGGAGCUUGCUCCUAAUGAGAGUGGCGCACGGGUGCGUAACACGUAUGUAACCUACCUUAGUCAGGGGGAUAGCCUCUCGAAAGAGAGAUUAAGACCGCAUAACAUUAUUGAGUGGCAUCAUUUAAUAAUCAAAUAUUUAUAGGACUAAGAUGGGCAUGCGGAACAUUAGCUAGUUGGUAGGGUAACGGCCUACCAAGGCUACGAUGGUUAGGGGAUCUGAGAGGAUGGCCCCCCACACUGGUACUGAGACACGGACCAGACUCCUACGGGAGGCAGCAGUAAGGAAUAUUGGUCAAUGGGCGGAAGCCUGAACCAGCCAUGCCGCGUGCAGGAAGACGGCCCUACGGGUUGUAAACUGCUUUUAUACGGGAAUAAACCUACUUACGUGUAAGUAGCUGAAUGUACUGUAAGAAUAAGGAUCGGCUAACUCCGUGCCAGCCGCCGCCGUAA